AUUGAACGCUGGCGGCAUGCCUUACACAUGCAAGUCGAACGGCAGCACGGGAGCAAUCCUGGUGGCGAGUGGCGAACGGGUGAGUAAAGUAUCGGAACGUGCCCAGUCGUGGGGGAUAACGUAGCGAAAGUUACGCCAAUACCGCAUACGAUCUAUGGAUGAAAGCGGGGGAUCGCAAGACCUCGCGCGAUUGGAGCGGCCGAUAUCCGAUUAGGUAGUUGGUGGGGUAAAGGCUCACCAAGCAGACGAUCUGUAGCUGGUCUGAGAGGACGAGCAGCCACAGUGGGACUGAGACACGGCCUAGACUCCUACGGGAGGCAGCAGUGGGGAAUUUUGGACAAUGGGCGAAAGCCUGAUCCAGCCAUGCCGCGUGCAGGAUGAAGGCCUUCGGGUUGUAAACUGCUUUUGUACGGAACGAAAAGGUUUGGCCUAAUAAGCUGAGCUCAUGACGGUACCGUAAGAAUAAGCACCGGCUAACUACGUGCCAGCCGCCGCCGUAA
RNAcentral lists this ribosomal RNA (500 nucleotides) under uncultured bacterium. RNAcentral describes it as "partial 16S ribosomal RNA". It matches the Rfam family "Bacterial small subunit ribosomal RNA", at positions 30 to 523 of the family's 1533-position model. The record is from RNAcentral.